UUACCGGCUAGAAUGGAANGAAACUGCAAGCAAGGUGCUGCAUGGUUGUCGUCAGCUCGUGCCGUGAGGUGUUGGGUUAAGUCCCGCAACGAGCGCAACCCUAUCUUAGUUACCAUCAUUGGGACUCUAGGACACUNCCUGCGCAACAGGAGGAAGGAGGGGACGACGUCAAAUCAUCAUGGCCUUUAUGUCGGGCUACACACGUAAUACAAUGGAGGACAAGAGGCAUGGCGACAUGCGCAAUCUCAAACUAUCUCAGUUCGGAUUGGAGUCUGCAACUCGACUCCAUGAAGCUGGAAUCGCUAGUAAUCGCAAUCAGCAUGUGCGGUGAAUACGUUCCCGGACCUUGCACACACCGCCCGUCAAGCCAUGGGAGUUGGUGACCUAA
RNAcentral lists this ribosomal RNA (388 nucleotides) under uncultured bacterium. RNAcentral's name for it is "bacterial SSU rRNA". It matches the Rfam family "Bacterial small subunit ribosomal RNA", at positions 971 to 1422 of the family's 1533-position model. The record is from RNAcentral.